UUUUCAGAUUUGAGAAACCGUGUGACCACUGCAUUUCCAUAGUAGCUUCGUGAAGGAUAAAAUCAUUUGCAAAAGCUUUGGUGGUAAAAGACGGGAAGCAUCAGAGAUUCCAAAAUCUACAUAUAUGCGACGAGUCAUACCACGGCCAUAUGACUGAACUUUUUCUUAUUCUACUUCACAUGAACGUUCGUGGAAGAUACUUUUAACUAUUGUAAGUCAUGUUCCAUUCAUUUGACAAUAUUAUUUUAGCAUGUUCCAUUCAUUUGACGAUUACUAAAAAGUGUUCUAUUUUAUUUAGAAAUAUAGUUUGUAAUUUUCUUAAGUUGAUAUUUGAGUUUAAAAUUUAUAUGUGGGUUUAGGGUUUAGUAUUUAGAAGAUGAAGAGUAUGGUUAGGAUCAACAUUAACUUAUUCCAUGGAAUCAUAGACAUUUCAUAAUUUCACUCUAUUACACCUAAAAAUAGAGUAUAUAUAUAUGUAUAUGGUCAAUAAACAUAUGACGUGGAUGACAUGGAUGACUCGACCUUCUUUUCUUUGAAAUAAUUUUUAGGCACACUUACCAUAUAUUAAUGGGAUACAUGGACACAUAGAGCACAUAUUUAUCGGGUAAUAGCAAAGGGGAAAGGUAUAACCGAACUAAUUAAGGUGUAAAUGUUAGUUUUUUUAUUAUGUCAAAAUUAUUAUUAUUUACUUAAUUUUUAUUACAUAAUUAGCUAUUCAGCAAAUAAGCCCUACAAAUAAUACAUAGCUAAAGUGUACACGAAAAUGCAACUUUUUGUUGGGGUUGGGUACUAAAUUAAUCAUAAAUCAAAUAAAAUUUACAUAAUGGGGUAAUUAAUUAAGCUAUCAUCAACGAAACACCAUUUUUGUUGCAUUUGUGUUUAUAUAAUUAUAUGUAAUUCCCCUAAAAUAUCUUAUUAUAUAAAGAAGAGUUUGCUCUCUUUUGGCGAAGCCACGUCACUAAGUUGUGCAUUUUGGGAGUGAUACGUGGCAACCCCAAAAAUCAAAAAAUUUUAAUGAGUUUCGUGCAGAUCUUUACUAGGCCUUUCAAAAAAAUCUAUAUCAAAUCAUUAUUUUAGUCGCCGCCGUCCGUUACAGAGUCGACCAGAUUCAUGCAUCUUCAUUAAAGCUCAAUUUAACUCCAAUUUCCCACAUAUCACACGAUCCUCUAUUCACUAAAUCUACUCCUUAAUACCAUUGAGUGAUUUCCGCUGCUAUAAAUAUAUCGAGAAGGUCUAGAGAGAUGUUGAUGGUGUGUGUUGGAUUAGAAUUCAUUGGUAUAUGAUACCGGAAGAGUACUGCUUCAGGGCGUCCUCCACCUCAACAACUGAAUAUACGACAACAUUCUCAUGAAACACGAUGGGUAGUCAGCGGGGGAGGAGCAUAUCUCGGCGGAGGAUGCGAAGAGGACGAGAGGGAAAGAGGCAAGACGAAGGUUGACUUGGAAACCAGUAAAAAGGGGAUUUAGGAUUGAAGGAAGAGAGGGAAACAUAAGAAGUGGAGACAGAUCUAAGUUUUGUGCAGAGAAGAAAAGCACAACAAUGAGGAGAUAUUAUGAACUGUAUGACGGCAAGCACAGAGAAACUGAUCCCGUCGUUCUGUGCGGUCGAGAAAAAAAAGUUUCAACCGUAAAAAAUCAUGUUUAGAUCUAGGUUUUUCUUCCUUUUAAUACAAUAAAUGUUUGGUGGGUUAGUUUAGUUACGUUUUAGGUUUAUUAUUUUUAGAUGGAUUUUAAGUAACUUGGGCCAAUGAACAUACUAAAAUAGAUCCAAAUGUAUAUAAAUUUUAGAAAGAUCCUAUUACAAAU
Brassica napus (rape) is the source of this 1805-nucleotide long non-coding RNA. RefSeq lists it as uncharacterized. The record is from RefSeq and is a predicted model, not a curated record. The transcript is spliced from 2 exons. NCBI's taxonomy places the organism in Eukaryota, Viridiplantae, Streptophyta, Magnoliopsida, Brassicales, Brassicaceae.